UUUGCUUCUAUAUGGAUAACUGUGCUAAUUGUAGAGCUAAUACAUGCGUCAAAGCCCGACUUCACGGAAGGGUUGUAUUUAUUAGAUACAGAACCAAUCCCGCAAGGGUCUUUGGAUGAUUCACAAUAAAUGAAUGAAGCGCAUGGCUCCGGCCGGCGCUGUAUCAUUCGAGUUUCUGACCUAUCAGUUGGUCGGUGGGGUAUUGGCCCACCGUGACAGUGACGGGUAACGGAGAAUUAGGGUUCGAUUCCGGAGAGGGAGCCCGAGAAACGGCUACCACAUCUAAGGAAGGCAGCAGGCGCGCAAAUUAUCCCCUGGCAACACUUUGCCGAGAUAGUGACAAUAAAUAACAAUGCAGGGCUCUUACGGGUCUUGCAAUUGGAAUGAGUACAAUUUAAAUCCCUUAACGAGGAUCAAUUGGAGGGCAAGUCUGGUGCCAGCAGCCGCGGUAAUUCCAGCUCCAAUAGCGUAUAUUAAAAUUGUUGCCGUUAAAAAGCUCGUAGUCGAACUUCGGGCUCUGUCAGCCGGUCCGCCUUCUUGGUGUGUACUUGUUUGACGGAGCCUUACCUCCUGGUGAACGGCGAUGUCCUUUACUGGGUGUCGUCGCAAACCAGGACUUUUACUUUGAAAAAAUUAGAGUGUUCAAAGCAGGCCUUUGCCCGAAUACAUUAGCAUGGAAUAAUAAAAUAGGACGCGCGUUCCCAUUUUGUUGGUUUCUGAGAUCGCCGUAAUGAUUAAUAGGGAUAGUUGGGGGCAUUUGUAUUCCGUCGUCAGAGGUGAAAUUCUUGGAUUGCCGGAAGACAAACUACUGCGAAAGCAUUUGCCAAUGAUGUUUUCAUUGAUCAAGAACGAAGGAAGGGGGAUCGAAAACGAUUAGAUACCGUUGUAGUCUCUUCUGUAAACUAUGCCAAUUGGGGAUCGGUACAGGAUUUUUAAUGACUGUAUCGGCACCCGAAGAGAAAUCUUUAAAUGAGGUUCGGGGGGGAGUAUGGUCGCAAGGCUGAAACUUAAAGGAAUUGACGGAAGGGCACCACCAGGGGUGGAGCCUGCGGCUUAAUUUGACUCAACACGGGGAAACUCACCAGGUCCAGACACAAUAAGGAUUGACAGAUUGAUAGCUCUUUCUUGAUCUUGUGGUUGGUGGUGCAUGGCCGUUCUUAGUUGGUGGAGUGAUUUGUCUGGUUAAUUCCGAUAACGAACGAGACCUUAACCUGCUAAAUAGACCAGCCGGCUUUGGCUAGCUGCUGUCUUCUUAGAGGGACUAUCAGCGUUUAGCUGAUGGAAGUUUGAGGCAAUAACAGGUCUGUGAUGCCCUUAGAUGUUCUGGGCUGCACGCGCGCUACACUGAUGCGUUCAACGAGUAUAUAACCUGAGCCGGUAGGCCUGGGUAAUCUUUUGAAAGCGCAUCGUGAUGGGGCUAGAUUAUUGUAAUUAUUAAUCUUCAACGAGGAAUUCCUAGUAAGCGCAAGUCAUCAGCUUGCACUGAUUACGUCCCUGCCCUUUGUACACACCGCCCGUCGCUGCUACCGAUUGGACGUUCCGGUGAAUUGUUCAGACGGGCUUAGAUGGUGGUUCCCAUCGUCUUCGCCUGAAAGUUCCGUGAAC
This 1605-nucleotide ribosomal RNA is filed under the name uncultured Basidiomycota. RNAcentral describes it as "SSU rRNA". It matches the Rfam family "Eukaryotic small subunit ribosomal RNA", at positions 128 to 1764 of the family's 1831-position model. Lineage: Eukaryota; Fungi; Basidiomycota. The record is from RNAcentral.